Molecule: ribosomal RNA, 369 nt
Filed under: uncultured Glomeromycotina
Lineage: Eukaryota; Fungi; Glomeromycota
Description: LSU rRNA
Source: RNAcentral
UUGAAAGGGAAACGAUUGAAGUCAGUCGUACCGACGGAGAAUCAACCUUUGGAGUGCGAGUCGAGGUAUUCGAGGAGUUUAAAAGCCCAUGUGUGCUUCCGUAUCGUGCUUCUUGGGUGCUUUUCUUCGUAUGGUAGGUUAACAUCAAUUUUGGACGUUACAAAAUGACUGGGGGAAUGUAGCUUCGACUUUUCGAAGUGUUAUAGCCCUUUGUAGAUGUGACGACCGGGAUUGAGGAUUGCAACGAAUGCUUUCGGGCUAUCCGUCUGACCUCUGGUGGUUGCUUUGGGGUCGAAAGCGUGCUUACGGCUUUAAAGUUGGCUAUCAAAAGGCUAGAACGUGAUUAAAUUCGUUAAGGAUGUUGACGUA